This 433-nucleotide ribosomal RNA is filed under the name uncultured bacterium. Its description in RNAcentral is "partial 16S ribosomal RNA". It matches the Rfam family "Bacterial small subunit ribosomal RNA", at positions 29 to 507 of the family's 1533-position model. The record is from RNAcentral.
AACGAACGCUGGCGGCAUGCCUAACACAUGCAAGUCGAACGAGACCUUCGGGUCUAGUGGCGCACGGGUGCGUAACGCGUGGGAAUCUGCUCUUGGGUUCGGAAUAACAGUUGGAAACGACUGCUAAUACCGGAUGAUGACGUAAGUCCAAAGAUUUAUCGCCCAGGGAUGAGCCCGCGUAGGAUUAGCUAGUUGGUGGGGUAAAGGCCUACCAAGGCGACGAUCCUUAGCUGGUCUGAGAGGAUGAUCAGCCACACUGGGACUGAGACACGGCCCAGACUCCUACGGGAGGCAGCAGUGGGGAAUAUUGGACAAUGGGCGAAAGCCUGAUCCAGCAAUGCCGCGUGAGUGAUGAAGGCCUUAGGGUUGUAAAGCUCUUUUACCCGGGAUGAUAAUGACAGUACCGGGAGAAUAAGCCCCGGCUAACUCCGUG